Molecule: ribosomal RNA, 803 nt
Filed under: uncultured bacterium
Lineage: Bacteria
Description: bacterial SSU rRNA
Rfam family: Bacterial small subunit ribosomal RNA
Source: RNAcentral
GGGUACAGGUGUAGCAAUACAUGCUGACGACCGGCGCACGGGUGCGUAACACGUAUGUAAUCUACCUUUAACUGGAAGAUAGCCCGAAGAAAUUCGGAUUAAUAUUCCAUAACAUAAUGAAGAGGCAUCUCUUUAUUAUUAAAGCUCCGGCGGUUAAGGAUGAACAUGCGUCUGAUUAGCUAGUUGGCGGGGUAACGGCCCACCAAGGCAACGAUCAGUAGGGGAUCUGAGAGGAUGAUCCCCCACACUGGUACUGAGACACGGACCAGACUCCUACGGGAGGCAGCAGUAAGGAAUAUUGGACAAUGGGGGCAACCCUGAUCCAGCCAUGCCGCGUGAAGGAUGAGGGCGCUAUGCGUUGUAAACUUCUUUUGAACGGGAGAAACCCCGGGUACGUGUACCCGGUUGAUAGUACCGUUAGAAUAAGGGACGGCUAACUUCGUGCCAGCAGCCGCGGUAAUACGAAGGUCCCGAGCGUUAUCCGGAUUCAUUGGGUUUAAAGGGUGCGUAGGUGGAAUGAUAAGUCAGUGGUGAAAUCUUGCAGCUUAACUGUAAAACUGCCAUUGAUACUGUUGUUCUUGAGUGUAGUUGAUGUGGGCGGAAUAUGUCAUGUAGUGGUGAAAUACUUAGAUAUGACAUAGAACACCGAUUGCGAAGGCAGCUCACAAAACUAUUACUGACACUGAGGCACGAAAGCGUGGGGAUCAAACAGGAUUAGAUACCCUGGUAGUCCACGCCCUAAACGAUGAUCACUCGCUGUUGGCGAUACACAGUCAGCGGCUAAGCGAAAGCGUUAAGUGAUC